RNAcentral lists this long non-coding RNA (781 nucleotides) under Rattus norvegicus (Norway rat). Its description in RNAcentral is "long non-coding RNA NONRATT027608". Lineage: Eukaryota; Metazoa; Chordata; Mammalia; Rodentia; Muridae. The record is from RNAcentral.
AAAACAGCAACACACGAUUAGUGAACACAUGCCCAGCACGCCGACACACGCCUUCCACAGGCCAAGCACAGGUGUGUGUGUGCACAAAUACACACGAGGAACGAACGGGAAACCCAUACUAAUGCUCGGGCCCCAAGCCCUGGGAAGGCACACCCUCUGCCGGCCACCCCAGUGUGCCCCAGUCACUGGUGCAAUAAACUUCCUGCCGUCCUCGAGAUGGGAGAAUCAGGACUCAUGUCAGGUGGGUGAGGCCACCCCUCUGAGCCCAGUAGACACUGCAUUCCCUUUCCUGGGAGGAGGGGGGUGCUCCCAGGCCUCUGGGGGGUCCAGGUAGAGACUUCCCCAAGCCUAACUGCCAACUGAAACCCUCUCCUGGUGAGGGCAGGUGGCUCAAGCUGACCUGGGCCAGAGAUAACCAGAGGUGAGGAACCCGCCUCACUGAUGCUGCUUUCUGACCCUGGCUGUGAGGAAUGGGCUGGGAGUGAGGGGGUGGCUUUUUCUUUCUUUCUUUUCUUUUUUUUUUUAAUAAAUGGAAACAAAAUCCAGGAGGAGCUGUCACCCUCACCUGAGUGUGACUAAGCUUCCUUUGCUUCAGUUUCUAUGUCACUCUUUUCCUCUUUGGUCCCGGGGACAGCCCAGCAGAUUCUCCUGGUCCUGACCUGGAGGGGGAAGGAGUUGCCCUGCCCCCUUUUACUUGUAUUAAAAAAAAAAAAAGAUGGGUUGAAAAUGUACUGAGAAAAAAUGUACUUUUUUAUAAAUAAAGUGUUUAAAACAAGCCCAA